Molecule: ribosomal RNA, 403 nt
Filed under: uncultured bacterium
Lineage: Bacteria
Description: partial 16S ribosomal RNA
Rfam family: Bacterial small subunit ribosomal RNA
Source: RNAcentral
GACGAACGCUGGCGGCGUGCCUAAUACAUGCAAGUCGAACGCAGUGGGGACGGGUGAGUAACACGUGGGUAACCUCCCAUCAGAGGGGAUACCACUUGGCAACAGGUGCUAAACCGCUACUGAUGGAUGAACCCGCGGUGCAUUAGCUAGUUGGUGGGGUAACGGCUCACCAAGGCCACGAUGCAUAGCCGACAGGAGAGGGGGAUCGGCCAAACUGGUACCUAGACACGGCCCAGACGCCUACGGGAGUCAGCAGUAGGGAAUCUUCGGCAAUGGACGAAAGUCUGACCGAGCAACGCCGCGUGAGUGAAGAAGGUUUUCGGAUCGUAAAACUCUGUUGUUAGAGAAGCGGUAUCUAACCAGAAAGCCACGGCUAACUACGUGCCAGCAGCCGCGGUAAUUC